UACGUAGGGGGCAAGCGUUGUCCGGAAUCAUUGGGCGUAAAGCGCGUGUAGGCGGCCAGAAAAGUCCGCUGUGAAAACUCGAGGCUCAACUUCGAGCUGUCGGUGGAAACUUUCUGGCUAGAGUCCGGAAGAGGAGAAUGGAAUUCCUGGUGCAGCGGUGAAAUGCGCAGAUAUCAGGAAGAACACCCGUGGCGAAGGCGGUUCUCUGGGACGGUACUGACGCUGAGACGCGAAAGUGUGGGGAUCAAACAGG
Molecule: ribosomal RNA, 253 nt
Filed under: uncultured bacterium
Lineage: Bacteria
Description: partial 16S ribosomal RNA
Rfam family: Bacterial small subunit ribosomal RNA
Source: RNAcentral